CCUGCCCAGCGAUGCAGGGGGUGAGCCUUCUGGGAAGGACGGAUUCUUCCAUGACCAUCAGAAGUGCAUCUCACGGUGGGGUCAACCUUGAUUGACUGAAGUCGCUCAGUCGUGUCUGACUCUUUGCUACCCCAUGGACUGUAGCCCACCAGGCUCCUCUGUCCAUGGGAUUUUCCAGGCAAUAGUACUGGAGUGGGUUGCCAUUUAGUUCCAGACAAAGUUGGGAAGGUUGCCUCCCGUGCUCCCGUCCCUUGGGCAUCAGUAACUGAAUAGCCAGCUGCUAGAAUUCUCAAUCUUCCUCCUGAAAGCUGCCCCUUCCCAUUCUUAAUUGUCUUAGUCAAUGGCAGCCCAUUCCCCCACCUGCUCUGGCCAAUACCCUGGAGACAUCGAUGCCUCAAUUUUUCCCACCAACCUCCAAUUCUAUCCAUCAGCAUGUCCUACUGACACUAUCCCAGACCCGCUGGCCACGCUCCAUCUCUGUUGCCAUGGUAACACCCUAGCCCAGGCCACCAUCCUCUCUCCCAAGCCACCUAACUGGACCUCCUGCUGUACUUAGUAAACCAGAAAGGAGAGCAUGUCACUUGCCUGUUUAAAACUUUCAAGUGAUUUUACAUCAGUCCGGGUCUAAGCAAACAGACCCAACUUCAGGUAUGAAUAACCAGGGGAUUUAAGGUAGGGAGUUGACUGCACAGAGGUGAGGCAACCUGGAGGCAAUGCAGCUAACAUCACUGGAAUCCACGCGGCUCUACACCAGAGGGACGAGGCCGGGGCAGGGGGACGCUGCGGUCAGUGCAAACUCCCUGCUGUGGCCACAUCAGCCUGGGGACAUGGAGCAGUGCCCGGCGCACUGGCACUCGGCUGCGGCUCCCGGCUCGCCUGCUGACCACGGCGGACUUCAGCCUGGAUGCCCAACACCGGAGCUCGGUGCUCGUUGUGCUGACUCACCUCCUGUUUCUGUGGAAUUUCACUGGAGGGAGACGCGCUGCUGAGUCUACCAGGAAGAUGGGCCGCGCCACAGCCGCGUAGACGUGAGGCGAGAAGCCACCGGUGGGCCAUGCCGCCCUGACCACGGCCACUUCCGGACAGCCAGGCGUGCGCGGUAGUGUCUGCUGUGCUGGAGCUGCCAGGCCAGGGCGACACAGAAUGUGAAAGCCACCGCAGCUCUGCUCUGGCUCGGGGAGCGGCUGGCUCCGUGCAAGCGGGGCAGGUUCUGCCCUCCUCCUGGCGGGGUCCGUGCCUGGCUGCCCCCUCCUGGGGUAACAGGCUUGGAGGAAAGGCAGCCUGAGCUCGUGCCUGCUAUUUUGCCUUCGCUGGCGCUGGGCACGUCCCCUCAUCUCUAUCUGUGAGGAUGACAGACAGCAACCCAGGCUUUCCAGGACCCAGGGCAUUGGGAAAGCAAGGUCCAGCACACCCCCUCGCCUGUCCUCACCUCCGGGGUCCCCGGGGCCUGUCCCCUUGCAGGGGUUUUCUCUCUGGUUGAAGUGUUGGAAGAUUUUAAUGUACUUCAGUUUAAAAU
Molecule: long non-coding RNA, 1516 nt
Filed under: Bos indicus x Bos taurus (hybrid cattle)
Lineage: Eukaryota; Metazoa; Chordata; Mammalia; Artiodactyla; Bovidae
Description: lncRNA (ENSBIXG00005019028.1)
Source: RNAcentral